This is a long non-coding RNA of Carassius auratus (goldfish), 1251 nucleotides long. The record is from Ensembl. Lineage: Eukaryota; Metazoa; Chordata; Actinopteri; Cypriniformes; Cyprinidae.
AAAAAUUCUGAUCUCAAGAGGGCGUUGUAUGAUCUUGUAAAUUGUCCAUUAAGGGGCAAGAGAUAUGUAAUGUUUUCUAAACAUAUAAAAAGGACAAUAAACUAAUAAUUAUGGUUGUUAAAUAUUAAAUAAAAUUAUUUCGAAUUCAAAAAUAUGUAAAUAAUGUACAAUUCAUGAUAACACAAUACAAUUUAAAUGUUUGCGUGUGCUUCGUGAACAGUGUUUUCAGAUCUGUUUAUUAUUACAUUAUAUAUAUAUUAUGUAUGUAUGUAUGUAUGUAUACAGAUGAUUUAACCCUGGUGGCCUUUUUUCCAUUAUCAUUACUAAUGUCUACACAACAUAUAUUUAUUAUAAAAAAAAAAAAAAAAAAUUCACUGUCUUUUCACUGUGCGUCCGCUACUGACUUUUAUUUUGACAUGUUUCCUCAGCCGGUGACAUUUACAGUGUGCCUUAAACGUUCUCCCUUCACAGUUAUUAAUUAUGCAUUUAUUCCUGUUUUUAUACAGUCUAUGAUUAAUUCAAAUGUUAGAUAGUAGUACACAGCAAACCUAAAAUGAGAUCUUAAUGGAGUUCACGUUAAACGAAUAAAUCAUUUAAAAGAGUCGGGUCGUUGUGAAGUUAUUUGGCAAUGCCAGUAGAAGGUAACAAGGACCAGGCCCUGGCUCCCCUGUCCAGCCCCGUCAGCGCUCUUACUUCUGGAGUCCAAGAAGACAGUGGCCUUUCCAUCCCAGGAAGCAGUUAGCAAGAGCCAGUGGCUACAUGUCCAGAGAAUGUAGAAUUCUGUACAGAAUCCUAGAAAAUCCCAGGCCCUUCUCCAGAUCAACUGUAAGGCUAUCCAGUCAGUGGAUCGAAACUCUCAGGCUGCUGAGCUGCAGGGAUUGGGAGUGGAUGUGUAAGACCAGGAUGUUCUCAAGCAAAGUGUGUUGCAGCAGGUGGACAGGGCCAGUCAGGAGGCAAACCAGGGAGCAGCCAAAGCUGAGCCAGAAGAGUCUGUACUGGAUGACGUCAGGACAAGCAGUUAAAAAAUAUCCGAGCCAAGUAGAAGAGAUUGACGGAGAGAAUAUCCAGAAGCUUGAGGCAGAAUUAUUGAUUGAGGAUGACGAAGGUAAGUUUGAAGCACCGUUUCUUUCAGAAGCUUUAGGUGCAUUAUUACCCUUAACAUUUAAAUGCAAGAGAAGAAAGAGCCUCGAAAGGUUAUGCUCAGCGAGAACUCCGGAUUCAACAAGUACCUUGCCGACAAAGCCAUGUUAG